GACGAACGCUGGCGGCGUGCUUAACACAUGCAAGUCGAACGGAAAGGCCCUGCUUGCAGGGUACUCGAGUGGCGAACGGGUGAGUAACACGUGGGUGAUCUGCCCUGCACUUCGGGAUAAGCCUGGGAAACUGGGUCUAAUACCGGAUAUGACCUUCCAUGUAGUGUGGGGGGUGGAAAGAUUUAUCGGUGUGGGGUGAGCCCGCGGCCUAUCAGCUUGUUGGUGGGGUAAUGGCCUACCAAGGCGUCGACGGGUAGCCGGCCUGAGAGGGUGGACGGCCACAUUGGGACUGAGAUACGGCCCAGACUCCUACGGGAGGCAGCAGUGGGGAAUAUUGCACAAUGGGCGGAAGCCUGAUGCAGCGACGCCGCGUGGGGGAUGACGGCCUUCGGGUUGUAAACCUCUUUCGACAGGGACGAAGCUUCGGUGACGGUACCUGUAUAAGAAGCACCGGCUAACUACGUG
This 465-nucleotide ribosomal RNA is filed under the name uncultured bacterium. RNAcentral describes it as "partial 16S ribosomal RNA". It matches the Rfam family "Bacterial small subunit ribosomal RNA", at positions 28 to 507 of the family's 1533-position model. The record is from RNAcentral.